RNAcentral lists this ribosomal RNA (399 nucleotides) under uncultured bacterium. RNAcentral describes it as "partial 16S ribosomal RNA". It matches the Rfam family "Bacterial small subunit ribosomal RNA", at positions 360 to 774 of the family's 1533-position model. The record is from RNAcentral.
AAUAUUGCGCAAUGGGGGGAACCCUGACGCAGCAACGCCGCGUGAGUGACGAAGGUUUUCGGAGCGUGAAGCGCUGUCAUCGUGGUCGAAGAAGUGACGGUACCCGAGGAGGAAGCCCCGGCUAACUACGUGCCAGCAGCCGCGGUAAUACGUAGGGGGCGAGCGUUUUCCGGAAUUACUGGGCGUAAAGGGUGCGUAGUCGGCAAAUUAAGUCUGAUGUGAAAGCCCACGGCUCAACCGUGGAGGGUCAUUGGAAACUGGAGGGCUUGAGUACAGAAGAGGAAAGCGGAAUUCCACGUGUAGCGGUGAAAUGCGUAGAGAUGUGGAGGAACACCAGUGGCGAAGGCGGCUUUCUGGUCUGUAACUGACGCUGAGGCGCGAAAGCGUGGGGAGCAAACA